Molecule: ribosomal RNA, 265 nt
Filed under: uncultured bacterium
Lineage: Bacteria
Description: partial 16S ribosomal RNA
Rfam family: Bacterial small subunit ribosomal RNA
Source: RNAcentral
GUCCACGCCGUAAACUUUGAAUACUAGAGACUGGAAGUAUCGACCCUUUCGGUCUCGAAGCUAACGCGUUAAGUAUUCCGCCUGGGUAGUACGACCGCAAGGUUAAAACUCAAAGGAAUUGACGGGAGCCCGCACAAGCGGUGGAGCAUGUGGUUUAAUUCGAUACUGAGCGAAGAACCUUACCUGGGCUUGAAAUCUCCGGAAGUCUGCCGAAAAGGUGGAUGUGCCGCAAGGAACCGGAGUACAGGCACUGCAUGGCUGUCGU